CUCGGAAAAUGAAAUUGUGAAAAGUUCUCUGCAAAUAGAAAAUAAAGGGUUUAUAUGGAUUUUACAAUCCCAAACUAAGAAGAAACAGCUUUCCACUAAAGAGAAACCAAUCCUAAAAAGGAUAGGAAAGUUUAAAUCUUACUGAAACAUUGAAAUUUAAGAGAACUAGUAACAAAUCCGAAAAACCGACGUCAACACAACCAGGCCGUGUGAGUCGAUAAAUUACACUGGCUGGCCGUCUCUGGACUGCUCGUGAGAUAUUCAAGACUGCCCGUGUGAUGAUGGAUGACGGAUUACUUUACAUGAGCAAGCCGUCUAACCUUCUGGACCUUUGCACGCUUGAUAGAGUUUUAUACAGAAGUAGACACGGUCUUGGCCAUAGCCGUGAGACUGAGGCUGUGUGAUUUGGCCCUUUGCUCAGAAGACAUUAUCGAAUACACGGCCAUGUAAUUUGGUCUUUGUGGGCCGUGUAACUCAGUGGAUACUCUGCCAUUUGCCUUCACUUGCAAAGAACUUGACCUCGAGUUAUAAUCUUAAUAUUCAAGUGCACAAUCCAGCAAAUAAUUACAAAAGUUAGCUACAUUAUAUUUCCCAUCCAAUUUGGAAGAUCCACCACAUAAGCAUUGUCAUUGAUCUCCUUGGGAAUCUUAAAUGGACCAUAUUUCCUUUGCUUCAGUUUAUAAAAUGCCCCAGCCGUCAAUCUUGCCUUGCCAAGAUACACCAUAACUUCAUCUUUAACUUCAAUUACCUUGAAUCUCCUAUGCUUACCUGCAGCCACCUUGCACUUUGCAUAGGCCACCCUUUUCUUUUUUGGCUGCUCAAUUAGUAUUUCACAUUGCCAUAGUCACUGUCUGCAUAUGGAGAACUCCUGUUUUUAGCUCAGAUCACAUAAAAAUUAAAAUCAAUACCCACAAUGCAAAAAAUGUUUCCUCAAACAUGAGCUGAAAUCGCAGAAUUCAAUUAGCAGUGCUCUAAAAGGGUCAUGUGUGCUGGCAUCCUUUAAGGCCAUCAAGGAAGGCCUCAAUUUCAACUUCUAAGUUUGGUUCUGCAGAUUUAACAGUAAAGAUAACAAAUUAACCAUAAAUAUUUGAAAACUACCCACACUCUUCUCUUUAUUUCUUUAAAGGCACCUUGAAUUGAUCAUUGUUCAAUAAUUAUAAUCUAAAGCAAGAAAAUGAGGAAUGAUAUAACAGAGAUCUCAAGGGAAUCACGUCCAUGAAGAAACAAGCUCCAAUUGGAUAUGGCUGGCCAAACAUCUUGAAAAUCAAUUACUUAGAAAGUGGUUGUGGUAUAUCGUCAGAUUGGCAGCGGCAAUGAUCAUCUAGGUCAAUUGAAGCCCUAGCUUUGGCUUGGGGUGGUGAAGAUUGCCGGAUCAAGCUUGAUGGUGGUAACGGUCACCGUUUGUUGGUAAAGGAGGCGUCGGAUGAGGUGGGUUGAGGAUUGUGAGUCAGGAAUGAGAGAAGUUUUGAAUUUUGACAACGAUGGAUUAUUUAAUUUGGACAAUUUCAUCAGUUUAACAAUACAAUUCCAUGGGAAUGAAAGAUACCCAUACAAAUGGUUGGGUAUCACAUGCUUACCGCUUAAGGGAAUAAAUGAUUCCUAGGAAAAAAUUUUCUUUUACCUCCUAAAAAAAAAUCAAGGGUAUAACGUUCUCAGUUAUCUUAUUCCUGGGAAUGUAAUCUCAUUCCCCUCUACUAAAUGCCACCAAAAAAGUGAAAGGUAUCCCAUGGAGUCGUUGGUGGCAUAAGAUCCAUCUUUGCAAUGUUGAACAAGUAGCAGUUCACUUUGCCUUCCUAUGUGCACCAACAUUCAGAGACCAGCUAAUCAAAAGCAACAUUCAGUUUGCUCUGCCAUUCUACGAAGACCAACAUGGGACUCUUGUUUCCAGUCCAACAUUAUUGCCCAGUAGUAAAACUGUAGAUAACCUACUUACAUCAGCAUGCAUCAUGACCAACAGAAUAAUAAUAAUAAUAAUCAAGUUGCUUGUUGAGUUGAUUCAGAAAUUCGGUGAUGCCCCCAAAAUGAGAAUGGACCUUAUCAUUGUCAACAACAAACUUAUGAACAAUCCCAUCAAUCUCAAUGAAACUCCAUGCAGAAAUGGUUGCUGCUCCCCUCUCUUUCAUCAUUUUCCUUAACCUAAUCACCUCCUCCCAGCUUCCCUUAGUGGCAUACAUGUUUGCUAGAAGGACAUACCUUCCACUAUGUUGUGGCUCUAACUGGAUAAGAAGCCUCCCUACCCUCUCCCCCAUCUCAAGAUGGCCAUGGAUCAGACACCCAUUUAGCAAAGAACUCCAUAUGGCUCCAUCCGGCUUCAUUGGCAUAAUAUUAAUCAAUAUCCCAGCUUCUUUAAUCAGCCCAGCUCGUGCCAAAAGAUCAAUCAUGCACCCAUAAUGCUCAAUCAAGGGAGCAAUGCCAUAAACUUUACUCAUUCGUCCAAAGAAACACCAAGCUUCACUCAACAAAAUUUUGUGAUUACAAGCAGUGAGAACUGCAACAAAAGUUACAGCAUUGGGUGUAGGU
This 2520-nucleotide unclassified non-coding RNA is filed under the name Hevea brasiliensis (rubber tree). Lineage: Eukaryota; Viridiplantae; Streptophyta; Magnoliopsida; Malpighiales; Euphorbiaceae. The record is from RNAcentral.